UCCCUGGUUGCUCAGAAGGUAAAGCGUCUGCCUGCAAUGCAGGAGACCCAGGUUCAAUCCCUGGGUUGGGAA
Molecule: transfer RNA, 72 nt
Organism: Ovis aries (sheep)
Lineage: Eukaryota; Metazoa; Chordata; Mammalia; Artiodactyla; Bovidae
Rfam family: tRNA
About the family: Transfer RNA (tRNA) molecules are approximately 80 nucleotides in length.
Source: Rfam